GAUGAACGCUGGCGGCGUGCCUAAUACGUGCAAGUCGAGCGAACGGACGAGAAGCUUGCUUCUCUGAUGUUAGCGGCGGACGGGUGAGUAACACGUGGAUAACCUACUUAUAAGACUGGGAUAACUUCGGGAAACCGGAGCUAAUACCGGAUGAUAUUUUGAACCGCAUGGUUCAAAAGUGAAAGACGGUCUUGCUGUCACUAAUAGAUGGAUCCGCGCUGCAUUAGCUAGUUGGUAAGGUAACGGCUUACCAAGGCAACGAUGCAUAGCCGACCUGAGAGGGUGAUCGGCCACACUGGAACUGAGACACGGUCCAGACUCCUACGGGAGGCAGCAGUAGGGAAUCUUCCGCAAUGGGCGAAAGCCUGACGGAGCAACGCCGCGUGAGUGAUGAAGGUCUUCGGAUCGUAAAACUCUGUUAUUAGGGAAGAACAUAUGUGUAAGUAACUGUGCACAUCUUGACGGUACCUAAUCAGAAAGCCACGGCUAACUACGUG
Molecule: ribosomal RNA, 497 nt
Filed under: uncultured bacterium
Lineage: Bacteria
Description: partial 16S ribosomal RNA
Rfam family: Bacterial small subunit ribosomal RNA
Source: RNAcentral